Molecule: ribosomal RNA, 366 nt
Filed under: Lysobacter antibioticus
Lineage: Bacteria; Pseudomonadati; Pseudomonadota; Gammaproteobacteria; Lysobacterales; Lysobacteraceae
Description: bacterial SSU rRNA
Rfam family: Bacterial small subunit ribosomal RNA
Source: RNAcentral
GCGUAAGCGUGCGUAGGUGGUUUGUUAAGUCUGAUGUGAAAGCCCUGGGCUCAACCUGGGAAUGGCAUUGGAAACUGGCUUACUAGAGUGCGGUAGAGGGUAGUGGAAUUCCCGGUGUAGCAGUGAAAUGCGUAGAUAUCGGGAGGAACAUCUGUGGCGAAGGCGACUACCUGGACCAGCACUGACACUGAGGCACGAAAGCGUGGGGAGCAAACAGGAUUAGAUACCCUGGUAGUCCACGCCCUAAACGAUGCGAACUGGAUGUUGGGAGCAACUUGGCUCUCAGUAUCGAAGCUAACGCGUUAAGUUCGCCGCCUGGGAAGUACGGUCGCAAGACUGAAACUCAAAGGAAUUGACGGGGGCCCG